This 1342-nucleotide ribosomal RNA is filed under the name uncultured bacterium. RNAcentral describes it as "bacterial SSU rRNA". It matches the Rfam family "Bacterial small subunit ribosomal RNA", at positions 28 to 1381 of the family's 1533-position model. The record is from RNAcentral.
GAUGAACGCUGGCGGCGUGCUUAACACAUGCAAGUCGAACGAUGAAGCCCAGCUUGCUGGGUGGAUUAGUGGCGAACGGGUGAGUAACACGUGAGUAACCUGCCCUUAACUCUGGGAUAAGCCUGGGAAACUAGGUCUAAUACCGGAUAGGAGCGCCUACCGCAUGGUGGGUGUUGGAAAGAUUUAUCGGUUUUGGAUGGACUCGCGGCCUAUCAGCUUGUUGGUGAGGUAAUGGCUCACCAAGGCGACGACGGGUAGCCGGCCUGAGAGGGUGACCGGCCACACUGGGACUGAGACACGGCCCAGACUCCUACGGGAGGCAGCAGUGGGGAAUAUUGCACAAUGGGCGAAAGCCUGAUGCAGCGACGCCGCGUGAGGGAUGACGGCCUUCGGGUUGUAAACCUCUUUCAGUAGGGAAGAAGCGAAAGUGACGGUACCUGCAGAAGAAGCACCGGCUAACUACGUGCCAGCAGCCGCGGUAAUACGUAGGGUGCGAGCGUUAUCCGGAAUUAUUGGGCGUAAAGAGCUCGUAGGCGGUUUGUCGCGUCUGUCGUGAAAGUCCGGGGCUUAACCCCGGAUCUGCGGUGGGUACGGGCAGACUAGAGUGCAGUAGGGGAGACUGGAAUUCCUGGUGUAGCGGUGGAAUGCGCAGAUAUCAGGAGGAACACCGAUGGCGAAGGCAGGUCUCUGGGCUGUAACUGACGCUGAGGAGCGAAAGCAUGGGGAGCGAACAGGAUUAGAUACCCUGGUAGUCCAUGCCGUAAACGUUGGGCACUAGGUGUGGGGACCAUUCCACGGUUUCCGCGCCGCAGCUAACGCAUUAAGUGCCCCGCCUGGGGAGUACGGCCGCAAGGCUAAACUCAAAGGAAUUGACGGGGGCCCGCACAAGCGGCGGAGCAUGCGGAUUAAUUCGAUGCAACGCGAAGAACCUUACCAAGGCUUGACAUGUUCUCGAUCGCCGUAGAGAUACGGUUUCCCCUUUGGGGCGGGUUCACAGGUGGUGCAUGGUUGUCGUCAGCUCGUGUCGUGAGAUGUUGGGUUAAGUCCCGCAACGAGCGCAACCCUCGUUCCAUGUUGCCAGCACGUAAUGGUGAGGACUCAUGGGAGACUGCCGGGGUCAACUCGGAGGAAGGUGAGGGCGACGUCAAAUCAUCAUGCCCCUUAUGUCUUGGGCUUCACGCAUGCUACAAUGGCCGGUACAAUGGGUUGCGAUACUGUGAGGUGGAGCUAAUCCCAAAAAGCCGGUCUCAGUUCGGAUUGGGGUCUGCAACUCGACCCCAUGAAGUCGGAGUCGCUAGUAAUCGCAGAUCAGCAACGCUGCGGUGAAUACGUUCCCGGGCCU